UUAUGUAGCAUAAUUUCACAAAGUUAAAGUCAGACCAUUCUGUUUUUGCUUCAAAUUUUGAAAUUAUACAAUCUAAUUUAGAUUAAAAACUGCUCAUGCAGCAUAUUGGCUUGAAGAAGGGCAAGGGGACAAUAGUAUCGGAUGUAUUUGAAAUUGUGUAUAUUGUAUAUCCCAUGUAUAUGUGUGUGUGUGAGUGUGUGUAUAACACCUGAUGAUAUUUUCUCUGGGCUUUUGAGUUACAACAAAUGGUUACAACAGCCAAAGAAAAAACUAAGACAGAAAUCAAGGGUCAAGAGCCCAACUAAAGCAAACACUGAUCUCUAACAUGGUUACUUCAAAUGAAACAAUAAAUCAACAUCUAAACCUUAGUUAAUUCUCAAUCAGAUCUUCUGUAGACGUCUGACAGAAAUAAAGUCAGUCUGGUUAUUAAUAAGUGGAGCUGGUGAUGCUGUUUGUGGGGUUGUUUAAUCAGAUCUUGAGAGAUUUAAUGUAUUUUAUUUCAGUUUAUUUUAUCUAAGGCUGUGUCUGAAGUCAGUUGUAGUUCUUGUGUUUCUCUUUUCUUCAGUGAUUCUGUUUGUUAACAGCAGCUGUUCAUCACAAUUAUCACUCAAUUAAUCACUUAAUUAUUUAAUUGCAAUGUAUAUCUUCUUUCAGUGAACUCAACUGAAUUAAGUUCAGAGUACUCACAACUAUUGGUUUUAAAACUUAAAUGGUUUAAGGCAAUCGGUUUCCUCAAACGGUUUGAGUUAACAUAACUUGUCAGGUUUUAGUGAGGCUGUGUCUGAAGUCAGUUGUAGUUCCUUUCUCUCUUUUCUUCAGUAAUUCUGUUUGUUAACAGCAGCUGUUCAUCACUAAUGCUCAAUUAUCACUCAAUUAAUCACUUAAUUACUUAAUUGCAAUGUAUAUCUUCUUUCAGUGAACUCAACUGAAUUAAGUUCAGAGUACUCAUAACUGUUAAGUUUUAAAACUUAAAUGGUUUAAGGGAAUCGGUUUCCUCAAAUGGUUUGAGUAGACCUAACUUGUCAGGUUUUUAAGGAUAUCUGUUUACUCAAACGGUUUGAGUUAAGUUACUUGUCGGGUUUUACAGUGUACCAGAACUAAUUGUGGAACUACCCACUUUUGGGCAUUUUCGCACCGCAGGAACGGGACUGCGAAUUUAGUACCGGACUGCCUUUUUCGAGAACCAAAUUAGCUCCUACUCCGGAGCAGGGUCUAACCAGCACAACUGGUACUACACAGCAAAAAAUCCAGAGUGAAAUCAACUCUGCUGGGAGUACAUGUGAGACCACAUUCAAGAGUGUGAAAGUGUUAAAAUAGGAGUGUUAAAUUAACACUGAAGCAGAGUUAAAGUUAAUGAGAUAAUUAAGUGAUUAACUGAGUGAUGAUUGACCAUUAUUGACGAGACCUGAUGUAAACAAGCAGAAUCAACAAAGACAAAAAUCAAAAAAAAAUUAUGUCACCAUUAUAGUGGUCAGUGUUUGCUUUAGUUGGGCUCUUGACCCUUAAGUUUUUAAAAUUAGAUUUGGUUUGGCUGUUAUAACUCAGUUGUAAUAGAGAGACGAGCAAAAAUUAAAAACAUGAUUAUGUGAUAUUAGUUAUGUUUUUACAUAAUAAUUAUUUGACCUGAAUCACCAAGCUUAUUUAAAGCCUAAAACAUAAUGGAAAUUACUAAGACAAUUCAGGUAAUAAUUUAUUCAUGUCACAGU
Cyprinus carpio carpio is the source of this 1706-nucleotide long non-coding RNA. The record is from Ensembl. NCBI's taxonomy places the organism in Eukaryota, Metazoa, Chordata, Actinopteri, Cypriniformes, Cyprinidae.